ACGGCUCAGUAACACGUAGUCAAUCUACCCUAUGGACGGGGAUAACCUCGGGAAACUGAGGAUAAAGCCCGAUAGAUCAUAGUGCCUGGAACGGCUUAUGGUCCAAAUGAUUCGUCGCCGUAGGAUGGGACUGCGGCCUAUCAGCUUGUUGGUGAGGUAAUGGCCCACCAAGGCUAUUACAGGUACGGGCUCUGAGAGGAGAAGCCCGGAGAUGGGUACUGAGACACGGACCCAGGCCCUAUGGGGCGCAGCAGGCGAGAAACCUUUGCAAUGUGCGCAAGCACGACAGGGUUAAUCCGAGUGUUUCCUGCUAAAGGAAUCUUUUGUUAGUUCUAAAACCACUGAUGAAUAAGGGGUGGGCAAGUUCUGGUGUCAAGCCGCCGCGGUAAAACCAGCACCUCAAGUGGUCAGGAGGAUUAUUGGGCCUAAAGCAUCCGUAGCCUGUUCUAUAAGUUUCCGGUUAAAUCCAUUAGCUUAACUAAUGGGCUGCCGAAAAUACUGUAGAACUAGGGAGUGGGAGAGGUAGACGGUACUCGGUAGGAAGGGGUAAAAUCCUUUGAUCUAUUGAUGACCACCUGUGGCGAAGGCGGUCUACCAGAACACGUUCGACGGUGAGGGAUGAAAGCUGGGGGAGCAAACCGGAUUAGAUACCCGGGUAGUCCCAGCUGUAAACGAUGCAGACUCGGUGAUGCGCUGGCUUGUGGCCAGUGCAGUGCCGCAGGGAAGCCGUUAAGUUUGCCGCCUGGGAAGUACGUACGCAAGUAUGAAACUUAAAGGAAUUGGCGGGGGAGCAC
This 794-nucleotide ribosomal RNA is filed under the name uncultured archaeon. RNAcentral describes it as "bacterial SSU rRNA". It matches the Rfam family "Archaeal small subunit ribosomal RNA", at positions 85 to 879 of the family's 1478-position model. The record is from RNAcentral.